GCCUCCUUAGCUCAGUUGGUAGAGCGUUAGACGUUUAAUAUAACGGUCAGGGAUUCGAGUCCCCUACGGGGCU
Molecule: non-coding RNA, 73 nt
Organism: Angiostrongylus cantonensis (rat lungworm)
Lineage: Eukaryota; Metazoa; Nematoda; Chromadorea; Rhabditida; Metastrongylidae
Source: Rfam